RNAcentral lists this ribosomal RNA (586 nucleotides) under Lodderomyces orthopsilosis. RNAcentral describes it as "eukaryotic LSU rRNA". It matches the Rfam family "Eukaryotic large subunit ribosomal RNA", at positions 52 to 654 of the family's 3401-position model. The record is from RNAcentral. Lineage: Eukaryota; Fungi; Ascomycota; Pichiomycetes; Serinales; Debaryomycetaceae.
GGAGGAAAAGAAACCAACAGGGAUUGCCUUAGUAGCGGCGAGUGAAGCGGCAAAAGCUCAAAUUUGAAAUCUGGCACUUUCAGUGUCCGAGUUGUAAUUUGAAGAAGGUAUCUUUGGGUCUGGCUCUUGUCUAUGUUUCUUGGAACAGAACGUCACAGAGGGUGAGAAUCCCGUGCGAUGAGAUGACCCAGACCUAUGUAAAGUUCCUUCGAAGAGUCGAGUUGUUUGGGAAUGCAGCUCUAAGUGGGUGGUAAAUUCCAUCUAAAGCUAAAUAUUGGCGAGAGACCGAUAGCGAACAAGUACAGUGAUGGAAAGAUGAAAAGAACUUUGAAAAGAGAGUGAAAAAGUACGUGAAAUUGUUGAAAGGGAAGGGCUUGAGAUCAGACUUGGUAUUUUGUAUGUUACUCUCUCGGGGGUGGCCUCUACAGUUUACCGGGCCAGCAUCAGUUUGGGCGGUAGGACAAUUGCAAAGAAAUGUGGCACUGCCUCGGUAGUGUGUUAUAGUCUUUGUCGAUACUGCCAGCCUAGACUGAGGACUGCGGCUUCGGCCUAGGAUGUUGGCAUAAUGAUCUUAAGUCGCCCGUCU